This 232-nucleotide ribosomal RNA is filed under the name uncultured bacterium. Its description in RNAcentral is "partial 16S ribosomal RNA". It matches the Rfam family "Bacterial small subunit ribosomal RNA", at positions 524 to 753 of the family's 1533-position model. The record is from RNAcentral.
UACGUAGGGUGCAAGCGUUGUCCGGAAUUAUUGGGCGUAAAGAGCUCGUAGGCGGUCUGUCGCGUCUGCUGUGAAAACUCAGGGCUUAACCCUGAGCUUGCAGUGGGUACGGGCAGACUAGAGUGUGGUAGGGGAGACUGGAAUUCCUGGUGUAGCGGUGAAAUGCGCAGAUAUCAGGAGGAACACCGGUGGGCGAAGGCGGGUCUCUGGGCCGAUACUGACGCUGGAGGAG